This 206-nucleotide unclassified non-coding RNA is filed under the name Hevea brasiliensis (rubber tree). The record is from RNAcentral. Lineage: Eukaryota; Viridiplantae; Streptophyta; Magnoliopsida; Malpighiales; Euphorbiaceae.
GGCACAAUAGACUAGAAAUUGACUUUGCCUUGUUUGUUUUUAUGGUUUGUCUCUAGUGACACAGUGUUGCCAGUGAAGCAGCUCAAUAAAAUUUGUAGUUAAUAGAGUUCAUUUUAGGAUUUUCUAAUUAACUCUGGCAUAUCUGGAUUUUACAUUUUGGAGAUUCUUGGAUUUAAGAAGAUGCUGAUUUCAUUUAUUACAAAUGG